AUUGAACGCUGGCGGCAGGCCUAAUACAUGCAAGUCGAGCGAGCGGCGGACGGGUGAGUAAUGUCUGGGAAACCGUCUGAUGGCGGGGGAUAACUACUGGAAAAGGUAGCUAAUCCCGCAUACAAUCAGAUUUGCCCAGUUGGGAUUAGCUAGUAGGGGGGGUAACGGCUCACCUAGGCGACGAGCCCUAGCGGGUCUGAGAGGGUGAUCAGCCACACUGGAACGGAGACACGGUCCAGACUCCUACGGGAGGCAGCAGUGGGGAAUAUUGCACAAUGGGCGCAAUCCUGAUGCAGCCAUGCCGCGUGUGUGAAGAAGGCCUUCGGGUUGUAAAGCCCUUUCAGCGGGGAGGCGUUACCCGCAGAAGAAGCACCGGCUAACUCCGUGCCAGCAGCCGCGGUAAUUC
RNAcentral lists this ribosomal RNA (406 nucleotides) under uncultured bacterium. Its description in RNAcentral is "partial 16S ribosomal RNA". It matches the Rfam family "Bacterial small subunit ribosomal RNA", at positions 30 to 526 of the family's 1533-position model. The record is from RNAcentral.